CGGAAUCAAAGGUGACACAUGGCGAAUUCAUUUAGUGUCGUUGGAAGUGAGUGCAUGAAACUAAUUGAGCCAUAAUCUCAGAGAUCACCACACACCUCAAACGCAGGUCGUGAGGUUAAGAAACCAUCGUCCACGUGCGAGCCAGUGAGCUCAGCAUCCAUUGUCUUCACUCUUGACUUCCAUCCGAGUCACCAUACUACAGAUUCCGGCAACAAAUCGAUACGGUAGAAAAGUCAGUGGUUACCCAGCACGUUCUUCCAAGGUAAAAGUAUAAGUCACGAGCAUUGACGACAAACUAAUUCGAUCUGCAUCCUCUAGCAGUAAACUGAUGUGACCCACAAACCACUAUUUAUGCCAAUUUGCAUGCAUUGACGUAACUACUCAAGACAAAAGCAAGUAACCAACAAAAGGCCUUCAAAAAGAGGGCUUUUUAUUUACAGUUUGAAAACGUUCUGUCGCACACUGCGAUCGCCUUUAGAUUCGGCCUUGAAGAAUUGUGCAAAAGUGUAGCGUUUACGGAUAGUAAGGGAUACAGCUAGUAAUCAUUCAGUUCUCCAAGCCCAUGGAUGGGCCACGACUCCCCGAGGACAACAAACCGUUUUAGGACGAAGUCUCAUUGAAGACACGGCCGGUGAUACACUGGUUGAGUGACAAAAGGGGCGAUCACCCUGACGUGGUUUAAGCAGUGCAGGUAACACGAGUAAGAGGUGAGACAGCCUCCACAACGCUACAGCAGCAGGCUGUCGGGCGAUACUACGAUGGCGUUGAAUUGACACGGUACAACAAUAGCGGCAUCGAAAGGGGCCCCAGAGACAUCAUCUUGGAGGAAUGAACUGGUCGUGUAAUUUGUGAGAGAGAAUAUGAGCUAGAUGUAAGACAAAUAGAUUAAGAUGUCAAAUUGGAAUUAGAUAGAUUAAGCAGCAAUUAGUACCAUUGUAAAUUUUUUUUUGAGUCGCUAUCGUCCGUUGCACUGUAUUGCGUCUAGUUUCCAUUGAUGAAUUAAACCUUGAAUAAUUAAGCAAAAGAUUAAAGCCAUGCUUGAAGGUCACCACAUGAUAAGAGAUAAGAAUAGAGGAAUAUCGUUACAGUUUUUGAUCUCUAUUUUCGGUACUUUCGGAACCGGUAACUGUAACCUGGUAGUCGCUCUAGAUAACGAUUUUAACAAACUGACUUUAAAUUUUGGAUUUACAUAGGAUAAGUGGAGAAUGUUCAAUUUAACCAGUGUAUUUAUAUACAAGACGAUGUAAAAAUGAACGAAAUCCUUUGAAUUAGCCGUAUGGUUCUUUUUGCCUUUCUCAUAUAGAAAGGUUAUGCAAUCA
Long non-coding RNA from Malaya genurostris, 1319 nucleotides. RefSeq lists it as uncharacterized. The record is from RefSeq and is a predicted model, not a curated record. The transcript has 3 exons. NCBI's taxonomy places the organism in Eukaryota, Metazoa, Arthropoda, Insecta, Diptera, Culicidae.